This 484-nucleotide ribosomal RNA is filed under the name uncultured bacterium. RNAcentral's name for it is "partial 16S ribosomal RNA". It matches the Rfam family "Bacterial small subunit ribosomal RNA", at positions 30 to 507 of the family's 1533-position model. The record is from RNAcentral.
AUUGAACGCUGGCGGCAUGCCUAACACAUGCAAGUCGAGCGGAUGAAGGGAGCUUGCUCCUGGAUUCAGCGGCGGACGGGUGAGUAAUGCCUAGGAAUCUGCCUGGUAGUGGGGGAUAACGUCCGGAAACGGGCGCUAAUACCGCAUACGUCCUGAGGGAGAAAGUGGGGGAUCUUCGGACCUCACGCUAUCAGAUGAGCCUAGGUCGGAUUAGCUAGUUGGUGGGGUAAAGGCCUACCAAGGCGACGAUCCGUAACUGGUCUGAGAGGAUGAUCAGUCACACUGGAACUGAGACACGGUCCAGACUCCUACGGGAGGCAGCAGUGGGGAAUCUUGCACAAUGGGCGAAAGCCUGACCCAGCCAUGCCGCGUGUGUGAAGAAGGUCUUCGGAUUGUAAAGCACUUUAAGUUGGGAGGAAGGGCAGUAAGUUAAUACCUUGCUGUUUUGACGUUACCAAAAGAAUAAGCACCGGCUAACUUCGUG